GACGAACGCUGGAGGCGUGCUUAACACAUGCAAGUCGAACGAUGAAAUGGAGCUUGCUCCAUGGAUUAGUGGCGAACGGGUGAGUAACACGUGAAUAACCUGCCCUUAAUUUUGGAAUAACUCAGGGAAACCUGGGCUAAUACCGGAUAAGUAAACCUGUGGCAUCAAAUGGUUUUGGAAGGUUAUUCGAUUAAGGAUGGAUUCGCGGCCUAUUAGCUUGUUGGUGAGGUAAUGGCUCACCAAGGCGACGACGGGUAGCCGGCCUGAGAGGGGGAACGGCCACACUGGGACUGAGACACGGCCCAGACUCCUACGGGAGGCAGCAGUGGGGAAUAUUGCGCAAUGGACGAAAGUCUGACGCAGCGACGCCUCGUGAGGGACGAAGGUCUUCGGAUUGUAAACCUCUUUCAGCAGGGACGAAGCGAAAGUGACGGUACCUGCAGAAGAAGCACCGGCUAACUAUGUGCCAGCCGCCGCCGUAA
Molecule: ribosomal RNA, 482 nt
Filed under: uncultured bacterium
Lineage: Bacteria
Description: partial 16S ribosomal RNA
Rfam family: Bacterial small subunit ribosomal RNA
Source: RNAcentral